RNAcentral lists this ribosomal RNA (1503 nucleotides) under uncultured bacterium. RNAcentral describes it as "bacterial SSU rRNA". It matches the Rfam family "Bacterial small subunit ribosomal RNA". The record is from RNAcentral.
GAUGAACGCUGGCGGCGUGCCUAAUACAUGCAAGUCGAGCGAACAGACGAGGAGCUUGCUCCUCUGAAGUUAGCGGCGGACGGGUGAGUAACACGUGGAUAACCUACCUAUAAGACUGGGAUAACUUCGGGAAACCGGAGCUAAUACCGGAUAACAUGUUGAACCGCAUGGUUCAACAGUGAAAGAUGGUCUUGCUGUCACUUAUAGAUGGAUCCGCGCCGCAUUAGCUAGUUGGUAAGGUAACGGCUUACCAAGGCAACGAUGCGUAGCCGACCUGAGAGGGUGAUCGGCCACACUGGAACUGAGACACGGUCCAGACUCCUACGGGAGGCAGCAGUAGGGAAUCUUCCGCAAUGGGCAAAAGCCUGACGGAGCAACGCCGCGUGAGUGAAGAAGGUCUUCGGAUCGUAAAACUCUGUUAUUAGGGAAGAACAAAUGUGUAAGUAACUACGCACGUCUUGACGGUACCUAAUCAGAAAGCCACGGCUAACUACGUGCCAGCAGCCGCGGUAAUACGUAGGUGGCAAGCGUUAUCCGGAAUUAUUGGGCGUAAAGCGCGCGUAGGCGGUUUUUUAAGUCUGAUGUGAAAGCCCACGGCUCAACCGUGGAGGGUCAUUGGAAACUGGAAAACUUGGGUGCAGAAGAGGAAAGUGGAAUUCCAUGUGUAGCGGUGAAAUGCGCAGAGAUAUGGAGGAACACCAGUGGCGAAGGCGACUUUCUGGUCUGUAACUGACGCUGAUGUGCGAAAGCGUGGGGAUCGAACAGGAUUAGAUACCCUGGUAGUCCACGCCGUAAACGAUGAGUGCUAAGUGUUAGGGGGUUUCCGCCCCUUAGUGCUGCAGCUAACGCAUUAAGCACUCCGCCUGGGGAGUACGACCGCAAGGUUGAAACUCAAAGGAAUUGACGGGGACCCGCACAAGCGGUGGAGCAUGUGGUUUAAUUCGAAGCAACGCGAAGAACCUUACCAAAUCUUGACAUCCUCUGACCCCUCUAGAGAUAGAGUUUUCCCCUUCGGGGGACAGAGUGACAGGUGGUGCAUGGUUGUCGCCAGCUCGUGUCGUGAGAUGUUGGGUUAAGUCCCGCAACGAGCGCAACCCUUAAGCUUAGUUGCCAUCAUUAAGUUGGGCACUCUAAGUUGACUGCCGGUGACAAACCGGAGGAAGGUGGGGAUGACGUCAAAUCAUCAUGCCCCUUAUGAUUUGGGCUACACACGUGCUACAAUGGACAAUACAAAGGGUAGCGAAACCGCGAGGUCAAGCAAAUCCCAUAAAGUUGUUCUCAGUUCGGAUUGUAGUCUGCAACUCGACUACAUAAAGCUGGAAUCGCUAGUAAUCGUAGAUCAGCAUGCUACGGUGAAUACGUUCCCGGGUCUUGUACACACCGCCCGUCACACCACGAGAGUUUGUAACACCCGAAGCCGGUGGAGUAACCUUUUGGAGCUAGCCGUCGAAGGUGGGACAAAUGAUUGGGGUGAAGUCGUAACAAGGUAGCCGUAUCGGAAGG